RNAcentral lists this ribosomal RNA (433 nucleotides) under uncultured bacterium. Its description in RNAcentral is "partial 16S ribosomal RNA". It matches the Rfam family "Bacterial small subunit ribosomal RNA", at positions 29 to 507 of the family's 1533-position model. The record is from RNAcentral.
AACGAACGCUGGCGGCAUGCCUAACACAUGCAAGUCGAACGAGACCUUCGGGCCUAGUGGCGCACGGGUGCGUAACGCGUGGGAACCUGCCCUUAGGUUCGGAAUAACUCCCCGAAAGGGGUGCUAAUACCGGAUAAUGUCUUCGGACCAAAGAUCUAUCGCCUUUGGAUGGGCCCGCGUUGGAUUAGCUAGUUGGUAGGGUAAAAGCCUACCAAGGCGACGAUCCAUAGCUGGUCUGAGAGGAUGAUCAGCCACACUGGGACUGAGACACGGCCCAGACUCCUACGGGAGGGAGGAGUGGGGAAUAUUGGACAAUGGGCGAAAGCCUGAUCCAGCAAUGCCGCGGGAGUGAUGAAGGCCUUAGGGUUGUAAAGCUCUUUUACCCGGGAUGAUAAUGACGGUACCGGGAGAAUAAGCUCCGGCUAACUCCGUG